This 253-nucleotide ribosomal RNA is filed under the name uncultured bacterium. RNAcentral's name for it is "partial 16S ribosomal RNA". It matches the Rfam family "Bacterial small subunit ribosomal RNA", at positions 524 to 776 of the family's 1533-position model. The record is from RNAcentral.
UACGAAGGGGGCUAGCGUUGUUCGGAAUUACUGGGCGUAAAGCGCGCGCAGGCGGCUAUCCAAGUCAGUGGUGAAAGCCCGGAGCUCAACUCCGGAACUGCCAUUGAAACUGUUUAGCUUGAGGAUGAGAGAGGUGAGUGGAAUUCCCAGUGUAGAGGUGAGAUUCGUAGAUAUUGGGAAGAACACCGGUGGCGAAGGCGGCUCACUGGCUCAUUACUGACGCUCAGGCGCGAUAGCGUGGGGAUCAAACAGG